RNAcentral lists this ribosomal RNA (781 nucleotides) under uncultured bacterium. RNAcentral's name for it is "bacterial SSU rRNA". It matches the Rfam family "Bacterial small subunit ribosomal RNA", at positions 8 to 796 of the family's 1533-position model. The record is from RNAcentral.
AGAGUUUGAUCAUGGCUCAGGACGAACGCUGGCGGCGUGCUUAACACAUGCAAGUCGAACGCUGAAGCUUGGUGCUUGCACUGGGUGGAUGAGUGGCGAACGGGUGAGUAAUACGUGAGUAACCUGCCCUUGACCCUGGGAUAAGCCUGGGAAACUGGGUCUAAUACUGGAUACGACAUGUCACUGCAUGGUGGUGUGUGGAAAGGGUUUUACUGGUUUUGGAUGGGCUCACGGCCUAUCAGCUUGUUGGUGGGGUAAUGGCCUACCAAGGCGACGACGGGUAGCCGGCCUGAGAGGGUGACCGGCCACACUGGGACUGAGACACGGCCCAGACUCCUACGGGAGGCAGCAGUGGGGAAUAUUGCACAAUGGGCGGAAGCCUGAUGCAGCGACGCCGCGUGAGGGAUGACGGCCUUCGGGUUGUAAACCUCUUUCAGCACGGAAGAAGCGAGAGUGACGGUACGUGCAGAAGAAGCGCCGGCUAACUACGUGCCAGCAGCCGCGGUUAUACGUAGGGCGCAAGCGUUGUCCGGAAUUAUUGGGCGUAAAGAGCUCGUAGGCGGUUUGUCGCGUCUGCUGUGAAAGCCCGGGGCUUAACCCCGGGUGUGCAGUGGGUACGGGCAGACUUGAGUGCAGUAGGGGAGACUGGAAUUCCUGGUGUAGCGGUGAAAUGCGCAGAUAUCAGGAAGAACACCGAUGGCGAAGGCAGGUCUCUGGGCUGCUACUGACGCUGAGGAGCGAAAGCAUGGGGAGCGAACAGGAUUAGAUACCCUGGUAGUCC